RNAcentral lists this transfer RNA (87 nucleotides) under Chloroparvula pacifica. RNAcentral describes it as "tRNA-Ser". It matches the Rfam family "tRNA". From Rfam's summary of the family: Transfer RNA (tRNA) molecules are approximately 80 nucleotides in length. Their secondary structure includes four short double-helical elements and three loops (D, anti-codon, and T loops). Further hydrogen bonds mediate the characteristic L-shaped molecular structure. tRNAs have two regions of fundamental functional importance: the anti-codon, which is responsible for specific mRNA codon recognition, and the 3' end, to which the tRNAs corresponding amino acid is attached (by aminoacyl-tRNA synthetases). tRNAs cope with the degeneracy of the genetic code in two manners: having more than one tRNA (with a specific anti-codon) for a particular amino acid; and 'wobble' base-pairing, i.e. permitting non-standard base-pairing at the 3rd anti-codon position. The record is from RNAcentral. Lineage: Eukaryota; Viridiplantae; Chlorophyta; Chloropicophyceae; Chloropicales; Chloropicaceae.
GGAGGGGUGACCGAGUGGUUCAAGGUAACGCAUUGCUAAUGCGUCGUAUAAAAUAUUAUACCGAGGGUUCGAAUCCCUUCCCUUCCA